UACGAAGGGGGCGAGCGUUGUUCGGAAUUACUGGGCGUAAAGGGCGCGUAGGCGGUUUGUUAAGCGAGAUGUGAAAGCCCCGGGCUCAACCUGGGAACUGCAUCCGAUACUGGCAGACUAGAGUGCGGGAGAGGGAGGUAGAAUUCCACGUGUAGCGGUGAAAUGCGUAGAUAUCACUUAGAAUACCAGUGGCGAAGGCGGCCCCCUGGACAGAUACUGACACUCAGAUGCGAAAGCGUGGGGAGCAAACAGG
Molecule: ribosomal RNA, 253 nt
Filed under: uncultured bacterium
Lineage: Bacteria
Description: partial 16S ribosomal RNA
Rfam family: Bacterial small subunit ribosomal RNA
Source: RNAcentral